CCCUAGCCCUGAUAGCAGCGGCAUCCUUUUGUCCCGAUUUUUUUCGGGACAAAAGAUAUAGCGGAUAGCAGGAACAGCU
This 79-nucleotide small RNA is filed under the name Flavobacterium sp. TAB 87. Its description in RNAcentral is "Flavo-1 RNA". It matches the Rfam family "Flavo-1 RNA". The record is from Rfam by way of RNAcentral. Lineage: Bacteria; Pseudomonadati; Bacteroidota; Flavobacteriia; Flavobacteriales; Flavobacteriaceae.